GACGAACGCUGGCGGCGCGCUUAACACAUGCAAGUCGAACGGAAAGGCCUGCUUUCCCUUGUGGAUUGCGGGUACUCGAGUGGCGAACGGGUGAGUAACACGUGAGUGAUCUGCCCCCAACUUGGGUAUAAGCCUGGGAAACUGGGUCUAAUUCCCGAUAGGACUGCAGGGUGGUGCCUGUGGUGGAAAACGAUUUUCUAGUGGUUGGGGAUGAGCUCGCGGCCUAUCAGCUUGUUGGUGGGGUAAUGGCCUACCAAGGCGGCGACGGGUAGCCGGCCUGAGAGGGUGGACGGCCACAUUGGGACUGAGAUACGGCCCAGACUCCUACGGGAGGCAGCAGUGGGGAAUAUUGCACAAUGGGCGGAAGCCUGAUGCAGCGACGCCGUGUGGGGGAUGACGGCCUUCGGGUUGUAAACUCCUUUCGACCGCGAGGAAGCCACCUGGUUGGAAGGGUGGUGACGGUAGUGGUAGAAGAAGCACCGGCUAACUACGUG
This 494-nucleotide ribosomal RNA is filed under the name uncultured bacterium. RNAcentral describes it as "partial 16S ribosomal RNA". It matches the Rfam family "Bacterial small subunit ribosomal RNA", at positions 28 to 507 of the family's 1533-position model. The record is from RNAcentral.